RNAcentral lists this long non-coding RNA (500 nucleotides) under Elaeis guineensis (African oil palm). RNAcentral's name for it is "long non-coding RNA (EGUI_LNC012214)". Lineage: Eukaryota; Viridiplantae; Streptophyta; Magnoliopsida; Arecales; Arecaceae. The record is from RNAcentral.
CUUGUUGUGUAGAAACUUGUAAGUGUUCAGGCGAUGGAAAGGCUAUUGGUGCAACAUUCAUAGGUAGAAAAGAAGCCUUGGUUUAGAGUCCAAAAGGCUUCCAAGAAUUUAAAAAGAGAUCAUUCUCUUGAACUCGCAUGAGUAAAGAUUGGCUGGGAAAAGGAUGAUCCCGUGUACUAUAAUAUAGAUGGGUGGUCACACAAGUCAGAAUAUAGAAUGGUGGACGUGGCUGGAGGAGUUGUUGCAGAGGUAAAUUUAAGCAUUUCCUUUACGAUAGAUUAAGAUAUUUAUUAAUUUGCGAUACCAUUGUUUAAACAGAAGUCGCUUAAUUAAUCAGCAACUUGCAUCUCACUAUGGGCCACUCUAUCUUGCUGAGUCCUAUACCUUCAUAUGAAACAUAUGUUUAAGGUGCUGAGUGGAGGAAUACUAGUGGUUUGCUGUUAUAUAUAUCAACCUAGCUUUAGAUAUAAGCUAUAUAUGUUCAACAUGUACCCCGCAUG